AUAGCGUAUAUUAAAGUUGCUGCAGUUAAAAAGCUCGUAGUUGAAUUUCGGGACCAAUAUGUCAGUCAUACCUCGGUACGCACUGGCUUAUAGGUUUCUCCCUUCUGACGAACCAUGAUGUCAUUAAUUUGGUGUCUUGGGGAAUCAGGACUGUUACUUUGAAAAAAUUAGAGUGUUUAAAGCAGGCUCACGCUUGAAUACAUUAGCAUGGAAUAAUGAAAUAGGACGUUUGAUUCUAUUUUGUUGGUUUCUAGGAUCGACGUAAUGAUUAAUAGGGAUAGUUGGGGGCAUUAGUAUUCAAUUGUCAGAAGUGAAAUUCUUGGAUUUAUUGAAGACUAACUACUG
Molecule: ribosomal RNA, 345 nt
Filed under: uncultured eukaryote
Lineage: Eukaryota
Description: SSU rRNA
Rfam family: Eukaryotic small subunit ribosomal RNA
Source: RNAcentral